This 301-nucleotide ribosomal RNA is filed under the name uncultured bacterium. RNAcentral's name for it is "partial 16S ribosomal RNA". It matches the Rfam family "Bacterial small subunit ribosomal RNA", at positions 509 to 807 of the family's 1533-position model. The record is from RNAcentral.
CAGCAGCCGCGGGAAUACGUAGGUGGCAAGCGUUGUCCGAAAUUAUUGGGCGUAGAGGGCUCGCAGGCGGUUUCUUAAGUCUGAUGUGAAAGCCCCCGGCUCAACCGGGGAGGGUCAUUGGAAACUGGGAAACUUGAGUGCAGAAGAGGAGAGUGGAAUUCCACGUGUAGCGGUGAAAUGCGUAGAGAUGUGGAGGAACACCAGUGGCGAAGGCGACUCUCUGGUCUGUAACUGACGCUGAGGAGCGAAAGCGUGGGGAGCGAACAGGAUUAGAUACCCCCGUAGUCCCUGUCUCUUAUAC